This 74-nucleotide transfer RNA is filed under the name Thiopseudomonas denitrificans. It matches the Rfam family "tRNA". Rfam says of the family: Transfer RNA (tRNA) molecules are approximately 80 nucleotides in length. Their secondary structure includes four short double-helical elements and three loops (D, anti-codon, and T loops). The record is from Rfam by way of RNAcentral. Lineage: Bacteria; Pseudomonadati; Pseudomonadota; Gammaproteobacteria; Pseudomonadales; Pseudomonadaceae.
GCGCCCAUAGCUCAGCUGGAUAGAGCGCACCCCUCCUAAGGGUGAGGCCGGUGGUUCGAAUCCACCUGGGCGCG